AUUGAACGCUGGCGGCAUGCCUAAUACAUGCAAGUCGAACGGUGGAGAGAAGCUCUUUCCCUUAUUUAACGGCGGACGAGUGAGUAAGUCCUACGAAUCUGCCCUGCCUUGGGGGGUGAGGUUCCUAAUGGAACGCUUAUACCGCAUACGUUCUCCGGGAGAGAGCAGGGGACCUUCGGUCCUUGCGCUAUUUGAUGAGCCUAGGUGGGAUUAGCUAGUUGGUUAGGUAAUGGCUCACCAAGGCGACGACCCGUAACUGGUCUGAGAGGAUGAUCGGUCACACUGGAACGGAGACACGGUCCAGACUCCUACGGGAGGCAGCAGUGGGGAAUAUUGGACAAUGGGGGAAAGCCUGAUCCAGCAAUGCCGCGUGUGUGAAGAAGGUCUUCGGAUUGUAAAGCACUUUAAGUUGGGAGGAAGGGCUGCUGGUUAAUACCCUGCAGUUUUGACGUUACCAACAGAAUAAGCACCGGCUAACUUCGUG
Molecule: ribosomal RNA, 484 nt
Filed under: uncultured bacterium
Lineage: Bacteria
Description: partial 16S ribosomal RNA
Rfam family: Bacterial small subunit ribosomal RNA
Source: RNAcentral